RNAcentral lists this ribosomal RNA (927 nucleotides) under Actinomycetes bacterium. Its description in RNAcentral is "bacterial SSU rRNA". It matches the Rfam family "Bacterial small subunit ribosomal RNA", at positions 1 to 932 of the family's 1533-position model. The record is from RNAcentral. Lineage: Bacteria; Bacillati; Actinomycetota; Actinomycetes.
UCGAUGGAGAGUUUGAUCCUGGCUCAGGACGAACGUUGGCGGUGCGCUUAAUGCAUGCAAGUCGAGGGAUAACCAGUCGUUCCGUAAGGUUCGGCUGGGGAAACCGGCGAACGGGUGCGUAACACGUGAGAAACCUGCCCCGAAGAUCGGGAUAGCCCGGGGAAACCCGGAUUAAUACCGAAUAUCCUCUUUGGACCACAUGGUCUGUUGAGGAAAUGGUCCGCCGCUUCGGGAUGGUCUCGCGGCCUAUCAGCUAGUUGGUGAGGUAAAGGCUCACCAAGGCAGAGACGGGUAGCUGGUCUGAGAGGACGAUCAGCCACACUGGGACUGAGACACGGCCCAGACUCCUACGGGAGGCAGCAGCAGGGAAUAUUGCACAAUGGGCGAAAGCCUGAUGCAGCGACACCGCGUGUGGGAUGAAUGCCUUCGGGUUGUAAACCACUUUCAGGAGGGACGAAAAUGACGGUACCUCCAGAAGAAGGCCCGGCCAACUACGUGCCAGCAGCCGCGGUAAUACGUAGGGGCCAAACGUUGUCCGGAUUUAUUGGGCGUAAAGGGCUCGUAGGCGGUUCAACAAGUCGAUCGUGAAAACCCGGGGCUCAACCCCGGGACGCCGGUCGAAACUGUUGUGACUAGAGUUCGGUAGAGGUGAGUGGAAUUCUCGGUGUAGCGGUGGAAUGCGCAGAUAUCGAGAGGAACACCAGUAGCGAAGGCGGCUCACUGGGCCGAAACUGACGCUAAGGAGCGAAAGCAUGGGGAGCAAACAGGAUUAGAUACCCUGGUAGUCCAUGCCGUAAACGAUGAACACUAGGUGUGGCGGAUUCAUUGACAUCUGCCGUGCCGAAGCUAACGCAUUAAGUGUUCCGCCUGGGGAGUACGGCCGCAAGGCUAAAACUCAAAGGAAUUGACGGGGCCCCGCACAAGCGG